UACGUAGGGCGCAAGCGUUGUCCGGAAUUAUUGGGCGUAAAGAGCUCGUAGGCGGCUUGUCACGUCGGAUGUGAAAGCCCGGGGCUUAACCCCGGGUCUGCAUUCGAUACGGGCAGGCUAGAGUCCGGAAGAGGAGAGUGGAAUUCCUGGUGUAGCGGUGAAAUGCGUAGAGAUGUGGAGGAACACCAGUGGCGAAGGCGGCUUUUUGGUCUGUAACUGACGCUGAGGCGCGAAAGCGUGGGGAGCAAACAGG
RNAcentral lists this ribosomal RNA (253 nucleotides) under uncultured bacterium. RNAcentral describes it as "partial 16S ribosomal RNA". It matches the Rfam family "Bacterial small subunit ribosomal RNA", at positions 524 to 776 of the family's 1533-position model. The record is from RNAcentral.